ACUCCUACGGGAGGCAGCAGUGGGAAUAUUGGACAAUGGGGAACCCGUAGCAUCCAGCCAUGCCGCGUGUGUGAAGAAGGCCUUCGGGUUGUAAAGCACUUUCAGUGGGGAGGAAAGGUUGUUGGUUAAUACCUAACAGCUGUGACGUUACCCACAGAAGAAGCACCGGCUAACUCCGUGCCAGCAGCCGCGGUAAUACGGAGGGUGCAAGCGUUAAUCGGAAUUACUGGGCGUAAAGCGUGCGCAGGCGGUCUGUUAAGCGAGAUGUGAAAG
Molecule: ribosomal RNA, 273 nt
Filed under: uncultured bacterium
Lineage: Bacteria
Description: partial 16S ribosomal RNA
Rfam family: Bacterial small subunit ribosomal RNA
Source: RNAcentral